UGGGGAAUAUUGCACAAUGGGCGCAAGCCUGAUGCAGCCAUGCCGCGUGUAUGAAGAAGGCCUUCGGGUUGUAAAGUACUUUCAGUCGGGAGGAAGGUGGUAAGGUUAAUAACCUUAUCAAUUGACGUUACCGACAGAAGAAGCACCGGCUAACUCCGUGCCAGCAGCCGCGGUAAUACGGAGGGUGCAAGCGUUAAUCGGAAUUACUGGGCGUAAAGCGCACGCAGGCGGUUGAUUGAGUCAGAUGUGAAAUCCCCGGGCUCAACCUGGGAACUGCAUCUGAUACUGGCAAGCUUGAGUCUCGUAGAGGGGGGUAGAAUUCCAGGUGUAGCGGUGAAAUGCGUAGAGAUCUGGGGGAAUACCGGUGGCGAAGGCGGCCCCCUGGACGAAGACUGACGCUCAGGUGCGAAAGCGUGGGGAGCAAACAGG
This 429-nucleotide ribosomal RNA is filed under the name Chloroflexota bacterium. Its description in RNAcentral is "Chloroflexi bacterium partial 16S ribosomal RNA". It matches the Rfam family "Bacterial small subunit ribosomal RNA", at positions 355 to 776 of the family's 1533-position model. Lineage: Bacteria; Bacillati; Chloroflexota. The record is from RNAcentral.